CCCGGUCAUCGGCAGCAUGCACUGACUGCUCGGCUCGCUGCCGCACCACGCCCUGCCUGCGCCGUCGAGUUGCUCAGCCCAAGGCGCGCCCGCUCCUUCCGCCGCGUCCGCGAGGCCGAGCCGGCGAGGCUCGUGCGCGCCGUCGCCGCGUCCCCGGCGUGGCCGCUCGUGAACGUCGUCGGCGGCGAGCAUGUCGCGGCCAUGAUGACCGCCGUCGGCGCGCGGCCGGAGGAGUACCUGGAGGAGCUGGGCAAGGUGGCGAAGCUCGCCGCCGGCUUCAACCUGGUCGACCUGUUCCCGGAGUCGCGGCUCGUGCGGGCAGCGCAAGCGGCCCACGGGAAGAUCCACAGCAUCAUGGACGCCAUGGUCCAGGACCAUCUGAAGGCGAUGGAGGAGCGCAGAGAGGAAGUCGCAGAUGGCGUCGUCGACGACGGCGACGGCGACGGCGCCGAUAGGGAUGAAGAGCUCCUUAGCAUCCUACUGAGGUUUCAGAGGGAUGGUGCCCUCGCGCAAUGCAAGGUAGAAACAAGGUGGAUGAGGCAUACAUAUUGGAGGGUCCCUUCAAUAUUACAUGCAAUUGGUCAUCAAAGAAACGUUAAGAUUGCACCUUCCAUUCCCUUUGCUUUUCCCAAGGUUAUGUACCGAAACAUGCAAGAUAAUGGGAUUUGA
RNAcentral lists this long non-coding RNA (669 nucleotides) under Oryza sativa Indica Group (long-grained rice). Its description in RNAcentral is "lncRNA OsZS97_01G046640". Lineage: Eukaryota; Viridiplantae; Streptophyta; Magnoliopsida; Poales; Poaceae. The record is from RNAcentral.